UCCAUUGUGAGGUGGAAUCUGAAGGAAGCUGCAAGCUAAUAAAGCUAGAUGU
Non-coding RNA from Eubacterium uniforme, 52 nucleotides. The record is from Rfam. NCBI's taxonomy places the organism in Bacteria, Bacillati, Bacillota, Clostridia, Eubacteriales, Eubacteriaceae.